UACGAAGGGGGCAAGCGUUGUUCGGAAUUACUGGGCGUAAAGGGCGCGUAGGCGGCUUAUCAAGUCAGGCGUGAAAUUCCCGGGCUCAACCUGGGGGCUGCGCUUGAUACUGAUGAGCUUGAAUGCGGGAGAGGAUAGUGGAAUUCCCAGUGUAGAGGUGAAAUUCGUAGAUAUUAGGAAGAACACCGGUGGCGAAGGCGGCCCACUGGCUCGACACUGACGCUGAGGUGCGAAAGCGUGGGGAGCAAACAGG
This 253-nucleotide ribosomal RNA is filed under the name uncultured bacterium. RNAcentral describes it as "partial 16S ribosomal RNA". It matches the Rfam family "Bacterial small subunit ribosomal RNA", at positions 524 to 776 of the family's 1533-position model. The record is from RNAcentral.